GAGCGCCCGCACCAGAAACUCCCGUUAUAUCACGUCACUUCCUCUCCUCCUCCUUCUCCAUCGCCCUCUCUUCUCGAAGCAUCCAUCGAUCAACGUUAGUUUGUCAAGCUCCGCGAGCUCCUCGUGCAGGAAAAGCGAAAAUGAGCCGCCGUUCUAGCUGCACAAUCUAUGUUGGGAAUCUGCCCGGGGACGUCCGGAUGAGGGAAGUUGAGGACUUGUUCUAUAAGUAUGGGCCCAUUGUUGACGUUGAUUUAAAGAUCCCUCCCAGACCACCAGGUUAUGCUUUUGUUGAGUUUGAAGACCCUCGUGAUGCUGAAGAUGCAAUUCGUGGUCGUGAUGGAUAUAAGUUUGAUGGGUACCGUCUGCGAGUUGAGCUGGCACAUGGUGGGCGAGGAUAUUCUUCAUCUGUGGACCGAUAUGGCAGCGGAAGUAGCCGUGGAGGAGUUGGCAGGCACUCUGACUAUCGUGUUUUGGUCACUGGAUUGCCUUCUUCAGCAUCAUGGCAGGACCUGAAGGAUCACAUGCGUCGGGCAGGAGAUGUCUGUUUUUCUGAAGUAUUCCGUGAGCGUGAUGGUGUUACUGGAAUUGUCGAUUACACAAGCUAUGAUGACAUGAAAUAUGCCAUCAAGAAACUCGAUGACACUUUAUUCAGGAAUGCCUUCAGUCGGGCUUAUAUACGGGUAAGAGAGUAUGAUUCAAGGAGGAGUUAUUCUAGGAGUCCCAGUCGUAGCCCCCGCUAUUCAAGGAGUCGCAGCCCUAGCUACAGCCGUAGCUACAGUGACAGAAGCAGGAGCAGGUCUCCUAGGAAAAAAUACUCAAGACGGUCUCCAUCAGUAUCUCCAGCAAGGUCCGUUUCUUCUAGAUCCCGCUCAGGGUCUUAUGCUCACUCUUACUCAAGAUCAGGAAUCUUCUGGCAUCCUGGGGAUCCCUCAUAAGGACCUUCAUGGGAUGUGGUGCUACUCUGUAAGUUGUUGAGGUAAAAAUCCUGUUUUGGAAUGAGUGGCUACAGAACUGGAACUACACCAAUGUUGAAUUAAUCGUAAGACAUUGUAUGCCAUCUGGCACUGGGUGUUCUCUGAGUUGUCAUUAUGCAUGGAUGUGAUGAUUUCAAGAUAGAUUCUAAUGCGAUGCAGCUGGUAUUACGGAUCAGCAAUGCAUGUUCACGUCCAGAAACCGGGCUCGACCCUCCGUCAAUGACUCAGAAAUUUAGGUUGAUUGUAGUGUAAGUGACAGUGAAAGGCAAUAUAUUCUUCUCUGGCUGGAAGAGGAUAAUGCUUUGGGUUCUUUUUGGAAAUUUGACUAUGGUCAACUGUGACGUGAGGCAGCUGGAUGCUGAGCCUGAUCAUACUCAAAGGUCUCAAAGUGUUUUAAGUGGUUUACUAUGGUAUUAACAUCUUGACACUUUUGCAGAUCUCGUUCAAGAUCCAGAACUCCACUGUCACCUGCUUCUCGCGGAAAACAUACUAGUCGAAGCUCGAGAAGAAGCUUAUCUGAAUCUCGCUCACCUUCGGUUCGAUCUAGAAGCCGUUCAGUGGACUCUAGGGAAUACUAUUGAGAAUGGC
Eucalyptus grandis is the source of this 1562-nucleotide RNA transcript. It is a transcript of the gene named serine/arginine-rich splicing factor SR30, with no coding region annotated. The transcript has 14 exons. NCBI's taxonomy places the organism in Eukaryota, Viridiplantae, Streptophyta, Magnoliopsida, Myrtales, Myrtaceae. The record is from RefSeq and is a predicted model, not a curated record.